RNAcentral lists this ribosomal RNA (497 nucleotides) under uncultured bacterium. RNAcentral's name for it is "partial 16S ribosomal RNA". It matches the Rfam family "Bacterial small subunit ribosomal RNA", at positions 28 to 507 of the family's 1533-position model. The record is from RNAcentral.
GAUGAACGCUGGCGGCGUGCCUAAUACAUGCAAGUCGAGCGAACAGACGAGGAGCUUGCUCCUCUGACGUUGGCGGCGGACGGGUGAGUAACACGUGGAUAACCUACCUAUAAGACUGGGAUAACUUCGGGAAACCGGAGCUAAUACCGGAUAAUAUAUUGAACCACAUGGUUCAAUAGUGAAAGACGGUUUUGCUGUCACUUAUAGAUGGAUCCGCGCCGCAUUAGCUAGUUGGUAAGGUAACGGCUUACCAAGGCAACGAUGCGUAGCCGACCUGAGAGGGUGAUCGGCCACACUGGAACUGAGACACGGUCCAGACUCCUACGGGAGGCAGCAGUAGGGAAUCUUCCGCAAUGGGCGAAAGCCUGACGGAGCAACGCCGCGUGAGUGAUGAAGGUCUUCGGAUCGUAAAACUCUGUUAUUAGGGAAGAACAAAUGUGUAAGUAACUAUGCACGUCUUGACGGUACCUAAUCAGAAAGCCACGGCUAACUACGUG